RNAcentral lists this ribosomal RNA (2787 nucleotides) under Escherichia coli. RNAcentral describes it as "bacterial LSU rRNA". It matches the Rfam family "Bacterial large subunit ribosomal RNA". The record is from RNAcentral. Lineage: Bacteria; Pseudomonadati; Pseudomonadota; Gammaproteobacteria; Enterobacterales; Enterobacteriaceae.
AGCGUACACGGUGGAUGCCCUGGCAGUCAGAGGCGAUGAAGGACGUGCUAAUCUGCGAUAAGCGUCGGUAAGGUGAUAUGAACCGUUAUAACCGGCGAUUUCCGAAUGGGGAAACCCAGUGUGAUUCGUCACACUAUCAUUAACUGAAUCCAUAGGUUAAUGAGGCGAACCGGGGGAACUGAAACAUCUAAGUACCCCGAGGAAAAGAAAUCAACCGAGAUUCCCCCAGUAGCGGCGAGCGAACGGGGAGCAGCCCAGAGCCUGAAUCAGUGUGUGUGUUAGUGGAAGCGUCUGGAAAGGCGCGCGAUACAGGGUGACAGCCCCGUACACAAAAAUGCACAUGCUGUGAGCUCGAUGAGUAGGGCGGGACACGUGGUAUCCUGUCUGAAUAUGGGGGGACCAUCCUCCAAGGCUAAAUACUCCUGACUGACCGAUAGUGAACCAGUACCGUGAGGGAAAGGCGAAAAGAACCCCGGCGAGGGGAGUGAAAAAGAACCUGAAACCGUGUACGUACAAGCAGUGGGAGCACGCUUAGGCGUGUGACUGCGUACCUUUUGUAUAAUGGGUCAGCGACUUAUAUUCUGUAGCAAGGUUAACCGAAUAGGGGAGCCGAAGGGAAACCGAGUCUUAACUGGGCGUUAAGUUGCAGGGUAUAGACCCGAAACCCGGUGAUCUAGCCAUGGGCAGGUUGAAGGUUGGGUAACACUAACUGGAGGACCGAACCGACUAAUGUUGAAAAAUUAGCGGAUGACUUGUGGCUGGGGGUGAAAGGCCAAUCAAACCGGGAGAUAGCUGGUUCUCCCCGAAAGCUAUUUAGGUAGCGCCUCGUGAAUUCAUCUCCGGGGGUAGAGCACUGUUUCGGCAAGGGGGUCAUCCCGACUUACCAACCCGAUGCAAACUACGAAUACCGGAGAAUGUUAUCACGGGAGACACACGGCGGGUGCUAACGUCCGUCGUGAAGAGGGAAACAACCCAGACCGCCAGCUAAGGUCCCAAAGUCAUGGUUAAGUGGGAAACGAUGUGGGAAGGCCCAGACAGCCAGGAUGUUGGCUUAGAAGCAGCCAUCAUUUAAAGAAAGCGUAAUAGCUCACUGGUCGAGUCGGCCUGCGCGGAAGAUGUAACGGGGCUAAACCAUGCACCGAAGCUGCGGCAGCGACGCUUAUGCGUUGUUGGGUAGGGGAGCGUUCUGUAAGCCUGCGAAGGUGUGCUGUGAGGCAUGCUGGAGGUAUCAGAAGUGCGAAUGCUGACAUAAGUAACGAUAAAGCGGGUGAAAAGCCCGCUCGCCGGAAGACCAAGGGUUCCUGUCCAACGUUAAUCGGGGCAGGGUGAGUCGACCCCUAAGGCGAGGCCGAAAGGCGUAGUCGAUGGGAAACAGGUUAAUAUUCCUGUACUUGGUGUUACUGCGAAGGGGGGACGGAGAAGGCUAUGUUGGCCGGGCGACGGUUGUCCCGGUUUAAGCGUGUAGGCUGGUUUUCCAGGCAAAUCCGGAAAAUCAAGGCUGAGGCGUGAUGACGAGGCACUACGGUGCUGAAGCAACAAAUGCCCUGCUUCCAGGAAAAGCCUCUAAGCAUCAGGUAACAUCAAAUCGUACCCCAAACCGACACAGGUGGUCAGGUAGAGAAUACCAAGGCGCUUGAGAGAACUCGGGUGAAGGAACUAGGCAAAAUGGUGCCGUAACUUCGGGAGAAGGCACGCUGAUAUGUAGGUGAAGUCCCUCGCGGAUGGAGCUGAAAUCAGUCGAAGAUACCAGCUGGCUGCAACUGUUUAUUAAAAACACAGCACUGUGCAAACACGAAAGUGGACGUAUACGGUGUGACGCCUGCCCGGUGCCGGAAGGUUAAUUGAUGGGGUCAGCGCAAGCGAAGCUCUUGAUCGAAGCCCCGGUAAACGGCGGCCGUAACUAUAACGGUCCUAAGGUAGCGAAAUUCCUUGUCGGGUAAGUUCCGACCUGCACGAAUGGCGUAAUGAUGGCCAGGCUGUCUCCACCCGAGACUCAGUGAAAUUGAACUCGCUGUGAAGAUGCAGUGUACCCGCGGCAAGACGGAAAGACCCCGUGAACCUUUACUAUAGCUUGACACUGAACAUUGAGCCUUGAUGUGUAGGAUAGGUGGGAGGCUUUGAAGUGUGGACGCCAGUCUGCAUGGAGCCGACCUUGAAAUACCACCCUUUAAUGUUUGAUGUUCUAACGUGGACCCGUAAUCCGGGUUGCGGACAGUGUCUGGUGGGUAGUUUGACUGGGGCGGUCUCCUCCUAAAGAGUAACGGAGGAGCACGAAGGUUGGCUAAUCCUGGUCGGACAUCAGGAGGUUAGUGCAAUGGCAUAAGCCAGCUUGACUGCGAGCGUGACGGCGCGAGCAGGUGCGAAAGCAGGUCAUAGUGAUCCGGUGGUUCUGAAUGGAAGGGCCAUCGCUCAACGGAUAAAAGGUACUCCGGGGAUAACAGGCUGAUACCGCCCAAGAGUUCAUAUCGACGGCGGUGUUUGGCACCUCGAUGUCGGCUCAUCACAUCCUGGGGCUGAAGUAGGUCCCAAGGGUAUGGCUGUUCGCCAUUUAAAGUGGUACGCGAGCUGGGUUUAGAACGUCGUGAGACAGUUCGGUCCCUAUCUGCCGUGGGCGCUGGAGAACUGAGGGGGGCUGCUCCUAGUACGAGAGGACCGGAGUGGACGCAUCACUGGUGUUCGGGUUGUCAUGCCAAUGGCACUGCCCGGUAGCUAAAUGCGGAAGAGAUAAGUGCUGAAAGCAUCUAAGCACGAAACUUGCCCCGAGAUGAGUUCUCCCUGACUCCUUGA